Molecule: ribosomal RNA, 427 nt
Filed under: uncultured bacterium
Lineage: Bacteria
Description: bacterial SSU rRNA
Rfam family: Bacterial small subunit ribosomal RNA
Source: RNAcentral
UAGGGAAUAUUGGACAAUGGGCGCAAGCCUGAUCCAGCCAUGCCGCGUGAGUGAAGAAGGCCCUCGGGUUGUAAAGCUCUUUUGUCCGGAAAGAAAAGCAUCGGGUUAAUACCCCGGUGUUCUGACGGUACCGGAAGAAUAAGCACCGGCUAACUUCGUGCCAGCAGCCGCGGUAAUACGAAGGGUGCAAGCGUUACUCGGAAUUACUGGGCGUAAAGCGUGCGUAGGUGGUUCGUUAAGUCUGAUGUGAAAGCCCUGGGCUCAACCUGGGAAUGGCAUUGGAAACUGGCGGACUGGAGUGCGGUAGAGNGUAGCGGAAUUCCCGGUGUAGCAGUGAAAUGCGUAGAGAUCGGGAGGAACAUCCGUGGCGAAGGCGGCUACCUGGACCAGCACUGACACUGAGGCACGAAAGCGUGGGGAGCAAACA